This 301-nucleotide ribosomal RNA is filed under the name uncultured bacterium. Its description in RNAcentral is "partial 16S ribosomal RNA". It matches the Rfam family "Bacterial small subunit ribosomal RNA", at positions 509 to 809 of the family's 1533-position model. The record is from RNAcentral.
CAGCAGCCACGGUAAUACGAAGGGGGCUAGCGUUGUUCGGAAUUACUGGGCGUAAAGGGCGCGUAGGCGGACAGUUCAGUCGGGGGUGAAAGCCCGGGGCUCAACCUCGGAAUUGCCUUCGAUACUGGCUGUCUUGAGUAUGAGAGAGGUGUGUGGAACUCCGAGUGUAGAGGUGAAAUUCGUAGAUAUUCGGAAGAACACCAGUGGCGAAGGCGACACACUAGCUCAUUACUGACGCUGAGGCGCGAAAGCGUGGGGAGCAAACAGGAUUAGAUACCCCAGGUGUCCCUGUCUCUUAUAA